Molecule: unclassified non-coding RNA, 1413 nt
Filed under: Leishmania donovani
Lineage: Eukaryota; Euglenozoa; Kinetoplastea; Trypanosomatida; Trypanosomatidae
Description: gene:unknown
Source: RNAcentral
AAUAAGACAUUCGUCGCACACACACACACACACACACACACACACACACACACACACACACACACACCAGCAGCGAGUCUUCAGAGUGCGCUUCACCACUCUCACCCGUCCUCUUGCCCCUCACCCUCCCGCUUUGGAGGGUCACGUACACUUUCAUCUGCAUGUGUCAGCUGUCCCUUACUGGAAGGCCGAGCACGGCCCUCGUGUCGACCUCAUUUCACUCGCGCUGGCAAAAAAAAAGCGAGAGUAUUGGUGCACUGACACACGUGCUCUCUCUUGCGCAAUUCGGACAGCGUGCGCUCAUGCCUUGAGGGCAUCAAAGCCGAGCUCGUCAUCCACUGCCUCGCUGUCGGCACUAUCUACACACGAAUGCUCACACCUUUGUCCUCUCUUGAUACGGACCGCUGUCUUGUUCCUUUUCUCGUCCUUGUGCACUUCUUUCACUCAUUCGGCCGAUUUUCUUUUUGUUUCAAUGUUGGAGUGCCUCUUCUCGCCCCAGAACGUCCCCCCUCUCUGGCCGUCGCCAAACGCCGCCCUUCCUCAUUGCCCGUCAUCCUCAUAACGCAUGCAGGCUGGCACACGAUAGGCGAGUGCGAGUGCGUUUUUUUUUUUUGUGUGUCUCCCACUUUCCUCGCUCCCCAUCACGUGCGCGUAUGCCUGUCUUGCUUGUUUUGCGCUCUUGCGGUUUGCACGUUGUUUUCUCAGGAUCCCUGUCGUCUACACAAAUAUGCGCAUCCUCCUCUUGAUCGCCGCGAUUGUGGGGUGCUGAUGGGAAGGAAAAGGAAGCCCGCUUUCACGCAAUCACAGCGGGCGACUCUCACAGCAACAUUCCGCCUGAGCUGUCGAACGUGCUUUGCUCUCUUCUGCUCCCACUUGCUCCUUCUACUUCAGCCCUCCUUUUCUGUUUUUCCCCUUUUUUUUCGUGGCUCUCUCUGAGCUAGUGCAGCCGUGCAUGCAGGCGAGCUCUGCCACUUAAUCUCUUCUCCCCACCUCGUCUUCUCUCUGGUGUGUUGGUGAAGAUGGACGUCAGGGACCAGUGCUGCUGCUGCUGCUGCUGCUCGUGUUCAUAUUUUUUACUUUCUAGAGCUUCGCAGUGUAUGCAUACAUAUGCAUGCAUAUGUAUGCACAUAUUCUGCUCUGUCAGCCUGGGCGGCGUAUUUCCCGACGGUAGUGACAAGGAGAAGUUAUUGAAAGCAAACAUGAGCCGUGAUGGCCUUCAAGAGCCUCAUCAACAGAAUCCUGGACGCUGCAUGCUAGCCUUUAACUCUUCUAGUGACCCCUUCGAUACCCGGAAAGCUCGCUUUCCCACCUAUGUUAAUUUCUUGUGGACCCCCGCUCGUCACGUCCGCAUCCACCUCAUCUUAGAGGCGGAACCGCCACGUCGUGAGAACUAUCAAGCCAUAAGGCAAAGAC